GAUGAACGAUGGCGGGGGGAGGAAUAAAGGCAAGUCGAGCGAAAAGACGAGGAGCUUGCUCCUCUGACGUUAGGGGAGGGGGGGAGAGUAACACGUGGAUAAUGUACCUAUAAGAGUGGGAUAAAUUGGGGAAAGGGGAGAUAAUAGGGGAGAAUAUAUUGAACCGCGUGGGGGAAUGGUGAAAGACGGUGGUGCUGUAACUAAUAGAUGGAUACGCGCCGCAUUAGGGGGUAGGUAAGGUAAAAGCUUAUCCAGGCGAGGAUGCGUAGGCGACCGGAGAGGGUGCGCGGCCACACUGGAACUGAGACGCCGUCCCUACUCCUACGGUAGGCAGCAGUAGGGUACCUUCCGCAAUGGGCGCAAGCCUUACGGAGCAACGCCGCGUGAGUGAUGAAGGUCUUCGGAUCGUAAUACUCUGUUAUUAGUGAAGAACAAAUGUGUAAGUAGCUAUGCCCUUCUUGACGGUACCUAAUCAGAAAGCCACGGCUAACUACGUG
Molecule: ribosomal RNA, 497 nt
Filed under: uncultured bacterium
Lineage: Bacteria
Description: partial 16S ribosomal RNA
Rfam family: Bacterial small subunit ribosomal RNA
Source: RNAcentral